Molecule: ribosomal RNA, 253 nt
Filed under: uncultured bacterium
Lineage: Bacteria
Description: partial 16S ribosomal RNA
Rfam family: Bacterial small subunit ribosomal RNA
Source: RNAcentral
UACGUAGGGUGCGAGCGUUGUUCGGAUUUGCUGGGCGUAAAGAGCGCGUAGGUGGUUCGAUCAGUCGGAGGUGAAAUCCCUCGGCUCAACCGAGGAUCCGCGUCCGAUACUGUCGAACUUGAGUGCAGGAGUGGAGAGCGGAAUUCCCAGUGUAGCGGUGAAAUGCGUAGAUAUUGGGAGGAACACCGGUGGCGAAGGCGGCUCUCUGGACUGCCACUGACACUGAGGCGCGAAAGCUAGGGGAGCAAACGGG